Molecule: transfer RNA, 77 nt
Filed under: Nitrosomonadales bacterium
Lineage: Bacteria; Pseudomonadati; Pseudomonadota; Betaproteobacteria; Nitrosomonadales
Also listed under: 1 other name
Description: tRNA-Lys
Rfam family: tRNA
About the family: Transfer RNA (tRNA) molecules are approximately 80 nucleotides in length. Their secondary structure includes four short double-helical elements and three loops (D, anti-codon, and T loops). Further hydrogen bonds mediate the characteristic L-shaped molecular structure. tRNAs have two regions of fundamental functional importance: the anti-codon, which is responsible for specific mRNA codon recognition, and the 3' end, to which the tRNAs corresponding amino acid is attached (by aminoacyl-tRNA synthetases). tRNAs cope with the degeneracy of the genetic code in two manners: having more than one tRNA (with a specific anti-codon) for a particular amino acid; and 'wobble' base-pairing, i.e. permitting non-standard base-pairing at the 3rd anti-codon position.
Source: RNAcentral
GGAAGCUAGGUGUUACUGGUUGCACAGCGGCCUUUUAAGCCGUCAGGAGUUGGGUUCGAGACCCACAGCUUCUACCA